UGAGGAAUAUUGGACAAUGGAUGGAAAUCUGAUCCAGCCAUGCCGCGUGCAGGAAGACGGCCCUAUGGGUUGUAAACUGCUUUUGUAUGGGAGCAAUAAGGUCUAUGCGUAGACUGAUGAGAGUACCAUACGAAUAAGCAUCGGCUAACUACGUGCCAGCAGCCGCGGUAAUACGGGGGAUGCAAGCGUUAUCCGGAUUUCUUGGGUUUAAAGGGUGCGUAGGCGGUUUGAUAAGUCAGCGGUGAAAUAUUUCAGCUUAACUGAAAGGGUGCCGUGGAGACUGUCAGGCUUGAAUAUGGUUGAUGUGGGUGGAAUGUGUGGUGUAGCGGUGAAAUGCUUAGAUAUCACACAGAAUAUCGAUUGCGAAGGCAGCUCACAAAGCCAUUAUUGACGCUGAUGCACGAAAGUGUGGGGAUCAAACA
Molecule: ribosomal RNA, 422 nt
Filed under: uncultured prokaryote
Description: bacterial SSU rRNA
Rfam family: Bacterial small subunit ribosomal RNA
Source: RNAcentral